RNAcentral lists this ribosomal RNA (433 nucleotides) under uncultured bacterium. Its description in RNAcentral is "partial 16S ribosomal RNA". It matches the Rfam family "Bacterial small subunit ribosomal RNA", at positions 29 to 507 of the family's 1533-position model. The record is from RNAcentral.
AACGAACGCUGGCGGCAUGCCUAACACAUGCAAGUCGAACGAGGCCUUCGGGUCUCGUGGCGCACGGGUGCGUAACGCGUGGGAACCUGCCCUUAGGUUCGGAAUAACUCCCCGAAAGGGGUGCUAAUACCGGAUAAUGUCUUCGGACCAAAGAUUUAUCGCCUUUGGAUUGGCGCGCGUUGGAUUAGCUUGUUGGUAGGGUAAAAGGCUACCAAGGCGACGAUCCAUAGCUGGUCUGAGUGGAUGAGUAGCCACACUGGGACUGAGACACGGCCCGGACUUCUACGGGAGGCAGCAGUGGGGAAUGUUGGACAAUGGGCGAAAGCCUGAUCCAGCAAUGCCGCGUAAGUGAUGAAGGCCUUAGGGUGGUAAAGCUCUUUUACCCGGGAUGAUAAUGACAGUACCGGGAGAAUAAGCGCCGGCUAACUCCGUG